RNAcentral lists this long non-coding RNA (5776 nucleotides) under Homo sapiens (human). RNAcentral's name for it is "HSALNT0385795". The record is from RNAcentral. Lineage: Eukaryota; Metazoa; Chordata; Mammalia; Primates; Hominidae.
CGGGGACUCGGUGCGGAGCCGGGGCGCCGAGUGUCUCCGUGUCCCUCUGCCCCAGCCGGCGGCCGCGAUGGUGGAGCUUGGCCUCUCGCUCUCUCCCGCCUCUCCAGCGACUGCUCUGCCGGCCGCGGAGGUCGGAUCGAGCGGUCAUUCAUUCAUUUGUUAAUUCGUUCACUUAUUCAGGGGAGAUCAUUGAACCCCUACGGAGUACCGGGUACUGGGCCGGGCGCUGAGGACGCGGGGCUGAGCAAAAGCAGCCGAGGCCCACCUUCGUGCCCCUUAAAACCCAGCGUGCGGGGCGGCAACGAGUACUGCUUUUCUGUUUUGCACUUAAAAUUUACAUUUUGCAUCCGUACUUUUUAUUUACUGUGCACCCUUACGGCAUGCUUUACGCACCCGUACCUGCACCUCCUAGCCUUGAGUGUAGACACCAGAUCCUGAGAUGGGCGAUUUUUCGAGAAUAAUUUUUACCCUAAGUGGAUUUUCGUGCCACGCAUGGACUUGGAACUACACACACGUAGUCCAAAACGUGAAAGUCAAAAUGCAGCUUUGCCAAGUGGCAGGGAGAAAGGAGAGCUGAGAAGAUGAGGAGAGGAAGGGCGCGCUCCAGGCUUUCCAGCCCGGGUGCGGUAGACGUAGCCCUGAAGGAUGAACCCAGGCUGGUAGUAGGGCGGCGGGAGGGCGGGGGGACCUGUCAGUCAAGUCCAAAGCAGAAACGCGGCGCCGGAUCCCAGUCAGAGGCCGGCUGGAACGCUUCCCACAGGCUCCUGGCGCUCCGGUCCCCACCAGGCGACCUUGAUCCUGGCGUGCUCAGCGGAGCCAGCGCAGCGUCGGGAGCUGGAGAGACGCGGGGCGCCGGCUGAGCGCUCCUGCCCUCUGCCUCUGGGCUAGCCUCUGGCCCGGCCUCCCGGCCUCCCCCAGGGUACGCUCUCCCCCAAGAGCGAACACCAGCUUUGGGAUCGCCAGCAGCCACGUCUCUGCUUCUAGAUCUCUUUUUUUUUUCUUUGAGACUUAGUUGAUAGCUGUUUAAGGAAUUAUGUGGAGGAAAUCUCACCUCCGACCCCCGCCCCCGUUGAGCACGGCCGGCCAGGGUCGCUGGGUGGGCCAGGAGGAAAGAAAGGGGCGGGGAAGAAGCAGCAAUUUUACUUUAAAUUAAAAUGACACAAAAAUAUUUUUUCAACUCAGAUCUUUCUGAGACAUCCCCAGAAAGCGUUGCAAGCUGUGAUUACACCUAAUGUGAGAGCAUGAACUAAUUUAAGAGGUGAGAGCUGCAUAAUGAGGCUGCCUCCCGUGUAGCAGCCAAGACUGGCAGCUCUGGCGGCGCGCUGGAGGGGACCGGGAGGGGCACCCUUGUAGAACCAGUCCCUGGCGCCCUGGGAUCUUCUCAGUGCCCUGGCGCUGUGUUGUCGGUCACUCCACAGAUAUUACAGGGUGCCUCCUGAAUGCCGGGUUGCAAUCAAGAGCAAGAGAUGGGGCGAGUGAAAGAGCCUGUUUUCAGGAGCUCAGCAUCAGGAUGACGAUUACCUAGAGGGAGGUGGUGGCCAGCCUCCCCCUCUUCUCUUCAUGCUGAGGCUCUGGUGGGCAGUGCCCAAGCCUGAACUGCCAUCUGUAUGCCAGUGGUUACCCAACUUGUAUUUUCAGUCUUAGCCUCUCUCUGGUCCAGACUUGUCAUUCUAAGGGCCCUUUUUCACUGACUCACAUUGUCUCCUCCCUCCCUGCCUUCCAAACUCAGCCUUUUCCUUUUUCCCUUUCCCACUGACAACAGCUGCACGACCCCCCCGCCCCCCCACGAGGUGAAAAUUCCCAAGAACCCCAUGUCUAACCUAACUCCCUCUCUAUGUCCUGUUGCUUGAGCCAUUCUCAUUAGGCUGCCUGUUCGGAGUUCAUUAUCUCCUAAUUUUUCAUCCAGGAAUUGAUGAAGAAUCACCUACUGCCUCUCCCACACACUGUUUAUUCUUUCAUUUGAUGAUAUCUGUUAAGUGCCCUGAGAUAUGUAACCUCCACUUCCCUCCCAUAUAAGUGAGAUUUCACGUUGAUUACUUCCUUGGCUUUCCUCAUCCCUUAUCCACAUAGCAUGUGUUCAAAAUAAUGAAUAUUAAUUUAAUGUUAAUAGAUAUGUGCUUUCCUGAAUUGUGAGGAUUAAAUGAAAUCAUGUAUAUAGGGAGGAAAAUCCAUUAGAAACCUCAAAAGCAGUUAUGUUUAUUUUUGCUAUUGUCACAUUGUUAGAGUCAGAAUUCUUUUAGCUGCAAGUGACAAAACCAACUCAAACUGGCUUAAGGACUUUAUUGGUUGAUGCAAAAAGCCUCGGGUUAGGUCUUGCCAUUUAAGGUAGGGCUGGAUCCAUCAAUCCGGGUUACCAGGAUCUGUUUUCUAGUUGUGGCUUCAUUUUCAGACAAGUUGUUUCCAUAUGAUAGCCUCAUAGAAGGUACUACCAGCUUAGUCCUAGCAAGAAAAAAGAGUACUUACUCUUCAAUAUUUGCAGCAGAAGUCCCAGGUCUGUUCUUAUGAGGGCAGUUUGAGUCACUUGCUCUUCUCUGAACGUGGAGAAGGCACUGUUUAGAUGAUGGAGGUUGGAUUCAGGUGCAUCCCCUGGAAUGGGGUUUGGCAUUAGCUUCACGUGGUCUAGAAUAAAGGGGUUCUCCAAAGGAAAAUUAGGGUAGGAAUGCUGAGUAAGCAGAACAAACAGAUGUCUACUUUAGUCCUUCCCAAAGGGUGAGCUGCAAUACAUUGCAGACUAUCAGAAUGGUGAUGAACACGGAUGCAGUAGCCAAGAAAAUAGAUGUGUGUUUGUCGUGGUCUUUUUCAGUCUUCAAGAUCUCAGUUAAACAUGAAGUCAACCACUCACUAUGAUGUUAUUUGAGGUUUAGCUUUGAAGUGGAAAUGUACCACAAAUAGUAGAGCCAGAUAAAUACAAAUAAAUAAUUUUAACAGUCCAUUCUAAAAGAUUUCUUUGGUAAUAUUCUGUUGGAAUUGAUUUCUAUCUUUUCAUUUGUUAGGUUCCUGGAAAGUGAAAAUUUCAUUUCUUUGUGGACAGGUACCUAAAAUGUCUCAUUAUUCAUCAAUUAAUGAAAAACAAAUGAAAAUUUGAGAGAGAUAUUCUGAAGAAUAAAAGGAUCAAGUUGGGUCAUUUCUAAAAUCUCAGAGACCUAAUAGGAUGGGGUCUUAGAGAAACAUCUUUUGAGCCACAGACUUCUUUGUUACCAGAAGGAAAAUGAAAGAAGAAAUUUAAAUACCACUUGAAGAGAGAGAGUGUGAAGAAAUGACCCUGAAAAGCCUCUGGCAGAGGAUUCUUCUUUCAGGAUGGUGUCGCCUCCUCAGCAGCCCAUCCUCCUCCCCUGGACUCAAGCUCUCAUUCCAGUAACACUCCUUCCUCCUUCUCCAUCUUCAGGGGGAGGUUUGCCAGUCGGUGGGUUCUAAGCAUAUCUCGCUGAUUCCCCCCAACCCUGCCGACACCUCUGUAGGUCGUCCCUUCAUUAAAAUCUCUCCAUUUGAACUAUCUGAGUUUAAUUCCAUUUCCUCCUGGUAUCUCAGUGAUACACGGUAUCAGUACAAAAAUCUCGCUUCACCUUCAGAACCAACAGAUUUGAGACAUUUUAUCCUCUGUGGAACCAUUAGUUAUUUUGUCAUUGGUUGUAUCAGAAAAAAAAAUCAGGAAUGCAAAUCCUUCUUUAUUACAGAUUCAGAUUUGCAUAUUACCAAUGUUAUAUAUUUUAAACAAAACUAUUCAUCAUAAGUUUUAAAAAUUAACUACUGGAGUAGUUAAUGAAUCUGAAUGUAAUUAUGUAGCUUUCAUAAUAUUAAAGUAAAAAUACUAAAAGAAGUAUUUCUUAAAGAAGCAAAUGCUCAAUCUCCAAGUAAAUUUUAUUCUAUGCUCUUCCGGUAUAAGAAUAUGUUAAUAUCUUGAAAAAUAUCAUAUUAUUUUGUGAACUCAUAAAGCUAUUUUGAGUUUUUGUAAAAUGAAAACCUUACCAAAAUGUAUUUUAUUGUUGGAAAGCUUGACCGUUACUGCUGUUUAAUUUUUUGAGCUUGUAAACUUUAUUUGUGCAUGUUUUCAACAAAGAAGGAUUUUAUUGUUAUUACAUAAAACAGGUGAUUUCUAGAUUUUAAAAUCACAAAUUGAAAGCAAGGCACAAUAAUAUAUAUUUCAAGAUAUAGGUACUUAGGAGGCAUCCUUUUAGUCAUCUGUUCAAUGUAGCCAUCUAUUUUACACCUACUGUCUACUAUUGUUUGAGGUCCUUGCCAAAGUAUUGCAGGCUAGUUAGGAAACAUAAAACAAUUAGAAAGUAAUCUAUGACAAGUAAGCUAUCUAUAAAUGGCAAUGAAGGGUAGAACAAAUUCAAUGAAAAUAUCUAUUUAAUCCUAGUGUUUACUGGUCUAGAAGAAUAGGCUGAGUAAAUUAGUAUUUCUCUGGCUGUUGUGGUAACACAUUGCAUGCUAUAACAGUUUUAAGUAAUUACAGGUGCAUUGAAAUUUAUCUAUGGCUUUGUCAUCAUAUUCUAAAAUGUCAUGAGUACUUUUUUCUGACCUCAAUUACUAUGAAAUUGGUUUCCAAUAUUUAAUUAACCAAGAAUAUCAAGUCUAUAGGGUAUUAUUAAGGUGAGACUUCUGUAGCCUUUUCAAUAAAGACCAGAAUUUUGGAGUGCCUUGAACCUUAAUCAUUGAUCUUUAAUUCUUAUUAAGUCAACUGCCCACCUUUUAAAGACUGAGGCCCAGGAAGAGUAAGUUUCUCUGAGACAAUGCAUACAGUACAGUGCUUCUUGGGUAUUGGCUCUAAGACCAGAUGCAAAGAAAGGCUAAAAUCCCAUUUCAUUGUUCAUUAGGUGAGAACCCUUUGUUAAGCUGUGUAACCUCUGUGCAUAGUUUCCUCAUCAGCAAAGUCAGAAAAAGUAUGUACCUGAAGGACUGAUUGUAAGGCUGGGAUGAGAGAAUCCAUGUGAUCAGCCCUCACCAACAGGUGCUGCCCAGUUCAUGAGUGCUGCUGCUGUCCUGCCCAAGUACCCAGCUUGCAGAGUGCCAGAGUUAGAGUCCCAGGGGUGUUCUCCACAGCUGCAUGCUUGAUCCAGGCCUAUCAGGUGAGUUGGCUCUUGGCUAGUGGUUUUUCUUCUCUUGCUGUACAAAAGUCCAGACAGUAAUGUCUUUUUUUCAUUUUUAUAGAUAUAUUCCAUUGAAAGUCCUCAUUCUCAAAUUUAAAACAAAGACUUUUUGUGUACCUCAAUAGCAAUGCACACACAGUUGGCUUCACAAACAUAUUGUACAUUUCUUUUUUUCAUAUUUAUUCAACAAAUGUAUAUUGACUACCCACCGUGUGACAGGUGUUAUUUGUUGACGGAACCAGGCAUCAUCAGCAAACAAAACUGACAAAGCUUCCUGCCCUCUGUGGAAGGCAUCUGAGGAAGAGACUGGAUUUUGUAGCAACAUGUUAUUCUCAUUAUAAACUUUAUCAUUGGAAUACUAAAGCCAAAUCAUCCCCCAUCUCCUUGAUCAGGAUACCCACUUAAUCUAGGCAGCUACACAAUUGUGAGAGCCUUUGUUUUUUUCUGCUGAAACAUCCUUAAAAAGAUACCUCACAACCCAAGAUUUGGCUUUUCUUAAAUACGAUUUUUAAUUUUUUUCAUUUCUAUCUAGAGAUUUAAUUGGAAAUGGAAAAUCAUCAAUUUUCCAAUUAAAUGUCUGUUCCAAUCAACAUUAUACCUUUUAGGUUGUCAUUGUCAUUUUUAAGUUUAAGCAACUUUAAGGAUUUUGAAUCUGGCUGCCUGUAAAUUAAAGGUGAAAGUAAUCA